UCCCCCCACCCCAGCCCACCCCAGCCCAGCUUUGUUUGUUCAUUUUCACUCAGCCUAGGCCUCAUUUACCACAGGAUUUGCUCAGGAUCCUUCUGGAGUGCCUCAGAGUUGUUAAGUGACAAUCUAAAAGCCGAUUUCGGAUUAGCUAGCUUAACCAGGUGAACCGAGGGCUUCGCUUUGAUUGGAGAGGAACGCUGGAGCUGUGCUUGGAAGUCCAUAUUGUGAGAGUGGAGGGCUUUAUCAACAUCCUGAGAGGCGUGCAUUCAGAAUAGCUGCUGAUGAGAAUCUCCCUAAUCAGGGAAGGAUUAGCAAAGGCUCAAAGCUCUCCUACUUCUAAUUCCUUCUCCAUGACGCUGUUCAUGCACUGCAAAAUGGUCUAGUGCAAUACAAGAAGUAUAAAUAUUAGAUGAGGCUCUCUGCCGGCCUAAUUAGCACUUUCGAAGGGAGCUUGUCAUUGAGCAAUACGUAAUAAUCACUGCAGAAUCACACGGAAGGAGGGCCGGGUUUCGUUAGGGGAACGGAAAGCGACGAGGAAAGUGUGCAUGGAUUUAGAGGGCCAGUGGGGAAAAAAGAAGAUGGUGAAUGGACGAAUAUGGAUAUUCAUUUGAAAAAAUACAAAAUGUCAACUUGGUGGAAGCCUUUAUUUCAAGUCUUGGAAAGCAAGUCUUCUGUCAAGUCAGCAAAUACUUUAAAUGCCUGCUGUAUGCCACAUAUUCAAAUCCUGAGUGUAUUGUUACCCAGGAUAUCCUCUGCAGAUCCAUUUCAAGAAACCAUGUUUGUUCAAGCAUUCUCCAACAUUGGUCACUUUCUGACAUUAACCUUAUUCUUUAAUGGGCAAAGGCUUUGGAAAAUAUAUUGCUUGGUAAAACACAAAUUGAAUGGACCAAUGCACUAAUCAACACUCUUUGGCUAUCACCAAACAGCAUAAGUCAAAAUGAAAGUGUGGCAAAUAUGUCACCAUGUGCUGACGUACUGUAUACUGACAAGAUGGAUGGAUGGAUGAAUGAAUGGAUGGAUGGAUGGAUGUGGGCUGCUGAAAAUAAAUGAGUCUUAUGUUACA
This 1060-nucleotide long non-coding RNA is filed under the name Monodelphis domestica (gray short-tailed opossum). RNAcentral's name for it is "lncRNA (ENSMODG00000030394.2)". The record is from RNAcentral. Lineage: Eukaryota; Metazoa; Chordata; Mammalia; Didelphimorphia; Didelphidae.